This 497-nucleotide ribosomal RNA is filed under the name uncultured bacterium. Its description in RNAcentral is "partial 16S ribosomal RNA". It matches the Rfam family "Bacterial small subunit ribosomal RNA", at positions 28 to 507 of the family's 1533-position model. The record is from RNAcentral.
GAUGAACGCUGGCGGCGUGCCUAAUACAUGCAAGUCGAGCGAACAGACGAGGAGCUUGCUCCUCUGACGUUAGCGGCGGACGGGUGAGUAACACGUGGAUAACCUCCCUAUAAGUCUGGGAUAACUUCGGGAAACCGGAGCUAAUACCGGAUAAUAUAUUGAACCGCAUGGUUCAAUAGUGAAAGACGGUUUUGCUGUCACUUAUCGCUGGUUCUGCGCCGGAUUAGCUAGUUGGUAAGGUAACGACUUACCAAGGCGACUAUGCGUAGCCGACCUCAUAGGGUGAUCGGCCACACUGGAACUUAGACACGAUCGACAAUCCUACGGUAGGCAGCAGUAGGGAAUGGUACGGAAUGGUGGGAAGCAUGACGGAGCAGCGCCGCGGGAGUGGUGAAGGUGUUCGGAUCGUAAAGCUCUGUUAUUAGCGGAGAAGAAAUGUGUAAGUAACUGUGCAGGGCUUGACGGUACCGGGUCAGAAAGCGACGGCUAACUACGUG